CCGGACUGAAGAUGUUAGACCCAAUGAAGGCGAUUUCGCAUGAUGAUCUGGUGAAAUUGCUGAAACUUUGUUGGGAAUGGCGCCAGGACCCAAAUUUGGUGAUGCAAUUUGGCAACGUGGAAGCUGAGAUUGAAUUCUUCGCUUCCCUCGUGAAAGCUGAUGGUUGGCUGAAAGGAGAUCACAUUGAUUUGGGGUUGUAUCUCAUCCGGAAGCGACAAC
Molecule: long non-coding RNA, 219 nt
Organism: Prunus persica (peach)
Lineage: Eukaryota; Viridiplantae; Streptophyta; Magnoliopsida; Rosales; Rosaceae
Exons: 3
Source: RefSeq, a predicted model, not a curated record